RNAcentral lists this ribosomal RNA (253 nucleotides) under uncultured bacterium. Its description in RNAcentral is "partial 16S ribosomal RNA". It matches the Rfam family "Bacterial small subunit ribosomal RNA", at positions 524 to 776 of the family's 1533-position model. The record is from RNAcentral.
UACGUAGGGGGCAAGCGUUGUCCGGAAUCAUUGGGCGUAAAGAGCGUGUAGGCGGCCCGGUAAGUCCGCUGUGAAAGUCGAGGGCUCAACCCUCGAAUGCCGGCGGAUACUGUCGGGCUAGAGUCCGGAAGAGGCGAGUGGAAUUCCUGGUGUAGCGGUGAAAUGCGCAGAUAUCAGGAGGAACACCGAUGGCGAAGGCAGCUCGCUGGGACGGUACUGACGCUGAGACGCGAAAGCGUGGGGAGCAAACAGG